RNAcentral lists this ribosomal RNA (465 nucleotides) under Vreelandella stevensii. RNAcentral describes it as "partial 16S ribosomal RNA". It matches the Rfam family "Bacterial small subunit ribosomal RNA", at positions 338 to 795 of the family's 1533-position model. Lineage: Bacteria; Pseudomonadati; Pseudomonadota; Gammaproteobacteria; Oceanospirillales; Halomonadaceae. The record is from RNAcentral.
CCUACGGGGGGCAGCAGUGGGGAAUAUUGGACAAUGGGGGCAACCCUGAUCCGGCCAUGCCGCGUGUGUGAAGAAGGCCCUCGGGUUGUAAAGCACUUUCAGUGAGGAAGAACGCCUGGUGGUUAAUACCCAUCAGGAAAGACAUCACUCACAGAAGAAGCACCGGCUAACUCCGUGCCAGCAGCCGCGGUAAUACGGAGGGUGCGAGCGUUAAUCGGAAUUACUGGGCGUAAAGCGCGCGUAGGUGGCUUGAUAAGCCGGUUGUGAAAGCCCCGGGCUCAACCUGGGAACGGCAUCCGGAACUGUCAAGCUAGAGUGCAGGAGAGGAAGGUAGAAUUCCCGGUGUAGCGGUGAAAUGCGUAGAGAUCGGGAGGAAUACCAGUGGCGAAGGCGGCCUUCUGGACUGACACUGACACUGAGGUGCGAAAGCGUGGGUAGCAAACAGGAUUAGAUACCCUAGUAGUC